GACGAACGCUGGCGGCGUGCUUAACACAUGCAAGUCGAACGGUGAAGCGCCUUCCUUUUUGGUGGGUGUGGAUGAGUGGCGAACGGGUGAGUAACACGUGAGUAACCUGCCCCCUUCUUCUGGAUAACCGCAUGAAAGUGUGGCUAAUACGGGAUAUUCUGGGUCUGUCGCAUGAUGGGUCUGGGAAAGAUAUUGUUUCGGUGGGGGAUGGGCUCGCGGCCUAUCAGCUUGUUGGUGGGGUGAUGGCCUACCAAGGCGGCGACGGGUAGCCGGCCUGAGAGGGUGGACGGUCACACUGGGACUGAGACACGGCCCAGACUCCUACGGGAGGCAGCAGUGGGGAAUAUUGCACAAUGGGCGCAAGCCUGAUGCAGCGACGCCGCGUGAGGGAUGGAGGCCUUCGGGUUGUGAACCUCUUUCGCCAGUGAAGCAGGCCUGCCUCGUUUGUGGGUGGGUUGACGGUAGCUGGAGAAGAAGCGCCGGCUAACUACGUG
RNAcentral lists this ribosomal RNA (494 nucleotides) under uncultured bacterium. RNAcentral's name for it is "partial 16S ribosomal RNA". It matches the Rfam family "Bacterial small subunit ribosomal RNA", at positions 28 to 507 of the family's 1533-position model. The record is from RNAcentral.